Molecule: transfer RNA, 74 nt
Filed under: Aconitum carmichaelii
Lineage: Eukaryota; Viridiplantae; Streptophyta; Magnoliopsida; Ranunculales; Ranunculaceae
Description: tRNA-Trp
Source: RNAcentral
GUCUCCAAAACCCGAUGUCGUAGGUUCAAAUCCUACAGAGCGUGAUUCUGUUCUUCUUAGCUUAGGUCGAAUUA